This is a long non-coding RNA of Scylla paramamosain (green mud crab), 3384 nucleotides long. RefSeq lists it as uncharacterized. The transcript is spliced from 4 exons. Lineage: Eukaryota; Metazoa; Arthropoda; Malacostraca; Decapoda; Portunidae. The record is from RefSeq and is a predicted model, not a curated record.
GAAAGGUGACUUACAUAAACACAGCCAAGUAUCAUCAUUAUUCAGCUUUCAUAUUACUGCACUUGACAUUUUCUCAGGUAGUUUUCAUAUUCCGCUUCUAACUGCUAGCACAGGUUACGAUUCUAUAACUUGAUUGUCUAAAAUAUCUAGAUUCGUUGGUAUUUAAAAAGGAAAUAUAUUGCGAUUAGUUAAAAAAGAAAAAAAAAAAACAAGUAGAGACGUGAGAGGAGUCUAGUCCUUGAUUUUAAAUAGAGCGCGCGAUUGAGGCCUACGCGCUGCAUUUGUUUAUAACCCACAAUACACCGAGCCCUCAACCAGCCGGGGAGCCUCGUGUGUCUCUGUGCUUUGUGAAGCCUCCACUAUAAUAUCCCAGUGUCAUCCGCGUCCCGGCGCGUCUUGGUGACUUUACGAGGUGAGGGAAUCAUACGCCGCACACUGCAGGAUGCCGUGGCAAGAAGCACUUCCGAAGCGAGGGUGCGUGGGUGGAGCUGGUGGGCGUCUGGCUGGCGCUGGCGGGCGGCUGCGGCGGUGCUGAGGCCAAGGAUUGAGUUCAGAGAGCCAUGAUCCUCCUUUCUCUCACGACCCCUCGCCCCCGCCAUUUCAGACACCCUGCCCCGCAGACCCCGCUCCACACACCCGGCCCCGCCCCUUCCGCCCCCUCCCACCACCUCCAGGAUCAAGCCUCAGCUAGCCCAGUGUGGGUGAAGGAUCAGAUGAACAUGAGUGGAACAGAAAAUACGCGAGAUACACUCCAGGACGCACCGAGAAUAUUCUAGACGUGCUGUGGAGAAACAGACCCUCCGUGUUGCAGCGACUUGACCUCUGCAUUGAGGCGGGUGGUGGUCAACUUCCACUGGGCACCAACCAACAUACACAGAGCAGGAGUUGCCGAUCCAAAGGCCUGGCUCAGGAGAGAUCCUGUGCCAUCUGUACCAUCAAGAUCAAGAUCAAGACCGCUCCGCCUUCCUCGGCUCUCCAUUCCUUCCCCUCCUGCCCCUCUCCCCUCAUUUCCUCUCUCUCUCUCUCUCUCUCUCUCUCUCUCUCUCUCUCUCUCUCUCUCUCUCUCUCUCUCUCUCUCUCUCUCUCUCUCUCUCUCUCUCUCUCUCUCUCUCGUAUGAUGCACGCACUCUAUUUUGCAGCAGGUGGAUAUCAAUUUUCAGUGUAUCUGUGUGGUUGCGUCUACUUUGUCCUCCUGGGCGUGAAGUGAACGGAGUACAGUAAAUAAGGUGCAAAUGUUUGUCGGUAAACACAGGCUGAUCUCCACACUUGAAAUCCGUAUAAUUUUGAAGUUUUCUCGCUAUUUGCUAUGUUACGGUGGUAUGUGUGUGUGUGUGUGGGUGUGGGUGUGUGUAUUGGAACAGAGAACGUGGGAAGAGGAAGGUUUUUUUUUUUUUUUCACCCUCUGUGGUAGCGAGGGUACGUUGCUACAAAGCGGUAAUAGGGACCGGAACGGGGACAGGUAAUUGGCCGUGGAGUGCCACAGAUAUAUCUUGAUUUUGUGGGGCCAAAAUCCUCGUUUUGUCUCCGCAGGUCUUCGUAAAUUCUUUCCAGGGCCAAUCUUAAAGUACAGGAAUUGACUUAACCAUAGCACAUAUCAGUUAACAUUUAAGUUGAGUAAUCACACUGAAUACAUUUUUGCUGCAUACCAAUAAUUGAUGGUUAGCCUGGUAUGGAGAUUCAGCAAAUGAGUGUGUUAAUAGACUCCCCCGCCUGUGAUGUCUGUGAUGACGUCAAGGUAACUAGUGUAUUAAAACAUAUGGGUAAAUUUUCGUGUGUUCCAGAUAUACGGCAAGCGAAAUUGUUUAUAUUGUGAUUCAUGGAAGGAUAUUUGUAACGUGUCAUUGCUAAUACGUGAUAGGUGCGCCACGGCGGAUCACUCCCUCUCUCCAACAGCCAUCUAUUUAUCUAUCUAUCUAUCUAUCUAUCUAUCUAAUCUAUCUGUUGAACUGUGGCUGACAGUAGCAUGAGGUAAAUACUUGAGAAGGUCUUGUCAGCACGGAACCUUAAGUUGUAGAGGAACGUGUAGAAACAAAAUACUUCAGAAACUGCAGUCUAAGAGGGACAAGGGAACUCCAUAUACGAGUUUCCAGAAUACAAUGUUUUGACAGUCUGAAGAAAGGUUUCCUGUAAUUCUCUCUCUCUCUCUCUCUCUCUCUCUCUCUCUCUCUCUCUCUCUCUCUCUCUCUCUCUCUCUCUCUCUCUCUCUCUCUCUCUCUCUCUCUCUCUCUCUCUCUCUCUCUCUCUCUCUCUCUCAUAUGAUUCAACUCAGUUCAUUUCACACACACACACACACACACACACACACACACACACACACACACACACACACACACACACACACACACACACACACACACACACACACACACACACACAAAGCAUUCUCCCUUAACCCUACACCACACACCCACACAAACCAUGAUUACUUAACGACACCCACGCACAGCACAUGUACGGCCUGGACUACUGGCUGAUGGCUGGCAAUUAAGGUAAAGGUAGACGAUCACGUGGACAGCAGGGUACGACGGCGGCGGCGGUGACAAAGGCGGGAAUGGUGGUGGUGUUGGAGGGACGGGCGUAGCGUGUCUAGACCUCUUUGUCCCUUCAGGAGCACGGCCGAGUGAUAGAAAGGGGAGAGGGAGUGUUGUUGUUCCUGCUGGUUUUUAUGCUUUUGAUGAAAAUGAGUUGUCUCCCUAAUUAAGUUUAUCAGAUCCUUCCACAGCCAGCAGUUCCAGUUCGUACCCUGUGACUUGAUGGAUGUCACGGUUUUCUUUCUUUCCUGACAUAUUUUUUUUUUUUUUUCAACUGAGUCGUACCUCCCUUCCCUUCUUUGCGGCGUCUUCCCUUUAAUUCUCCUACCUGUUCUCACCUGCCUACUUAGCCCUCUUCGCAUUUACCUGCACGUCACUUUCGUUGACACCUGUAGAUAAACUUGCUACUUUAGUUGAAACUUCGAUAUUUUUUACACUCUUACUAGAAUUCCUUGACUUUAUUAAAAUCUUCAUAAUUUCCAGAUUUUAUUUUACUUGUAAUUUCACCAAAAUACAACAAUUUUUCCCUUUUCUUUAUUUCUCUCUCUAUCUUCGGAGACGCUUCCUUGUUGCAGUCUGUGGGUCUCUCCGUCUUGCUCCAUUUUUGGCCAAUAUACCAUCCUUUUUCUUUAAAUGAGUUCGGAAAUGUAUCACUCGAUUUCCAAUUGCCAUUACUCACCCCCUAAUGGUCCACCGUGUGUCCGGACCGUGACGGACGCUAAUAAUGCCACCAGGACAUCCGAGCCAAGAGUUACGGUGUAGUUUCUUUCGUUGUGGGGAAGGGAAUUGAACACAUUGGUUUUCAUGUGAUGGUUUUAUUGUUUAGAUUGUUGAAUGGAACGGAAAGCUGGGA